RNAcentral lists this ribosomal RNA (464 nucleotides) under uncultured bacterium. RNAcentral's name for it is "partial 16S ribosomal RNA". It matches the Rfam family "Bacterial small subunit ribosomal RNA", at positions 29 to 507 of the family's 1533-position model. The record is from RNAcentral.
AUGCACGCUGGCGGCGUGCUUAACACAUGCAAGUCGAACGGAAAGGCUCCUGCUUGCAGGGGUACUCGAGUGGCGAACGGGUGAGUAACACGUGGGUGAUCUGCCCUGCACUUCGGGAUAAGCCUGGGAAACUGGGUCUAAUACCGGAUAGGACGAUGGUUUGGAUGCCAUUGUGGAAAGUUUUUCGGUGUGGGAUGAGCUCGCGGCCUAUCAGCUUGUUGGUGGGGUAAUGGCCUACCAAGGCGUCGACGGGUAGCCGGCCUGAGAGGGUGUACGGCCACAUUGGGACUGAGAUACGGCCCAGACUCCUACGGGAGGCAGCAGUGGGGAAUAUUGCACAAUGGGCGCAAGCCUGAUGCAGCGACGCCGCGUGGGGGAUGACGGCCUUCGGGUUGUAAACUCCUUUCGUCAGGGACGAAGCGAAAGUGACGGUACCUGGAUAAGAAGCACCGGCUAACUACGUG